GAGUUUGAUUCUGGCUCAGAGUGAACGCCGGCGGCAGGCCUAACACAUGCAAGUCGAGCGGCAGCACAGGAGAGCUUGCUCUCUGGGUGGCGAGCGGCGGACGGGUGAGGAACACAUCGGAAUCUGCCCAGUUGUGGGGGAUAACGUAGGGAAACUUACGCUAAUACCGCAUACGACCUACGGGUGAAAGCAGGGGACCUUCGGGCCUUGCGCGACUGGAUGAGCCGAUGUCGGAUUAGCUUGUUGGUGAGGUAAAGGCUCACCAAGGCGACGAUCCGUAGCUGGUCUGAGAGGAUGAUCAGCCACACUGGAACUGAGACACGGUCCAGACUCCUACGGGAGGCAGCANNNGGGAAUAUUGGACAAUGGGCGCAAGCCUGAUCCAGCCAUGCCGCGUGUGUGAAGAAGGCCUUCGGGUUGUAAAGCACUUUUGUACGGGAAGAAAUCUCUUGGGUUAAUACCCUGGGAGGAUGACGGUACCGUAAGAAUAAGCACCGGCUAACUUCGUGCCAGCAGCCGCGGUAAUACGAAGGGUGCAAGCGUUACUCGGAAUUACUGGGCGUAAAGCGUGCGUAGGUGGUUCGUUAAGUCUGCCGUGAAAGCCCCGGGCACAACCUGGGAAUUGC
This 626-nucleotide ribosomal RNA is filed under the name uncultured bacterium. RNAcentral's name for it is "bacterial SSU rRNA". It matches the Rfam family "Bacterial small subunit ribosomal RNA", at positions 9 to 624 of the family's 1533-position model. The record is from RNAcentral.